UGCUAGACAAAUGUAAAGUAUUUUUGUAAUAUGCCCAUGAACUAUAUGCAAGUUCUAAGAGGCAUUAACCCUGGGAAGAAGCAAAAGUCGAAGCAGGAAGUUCAGUCAUCCAGCUACCAAUAUAAUAUACACAAGAAAUAGUAGUGACUUGGAUCAAAUGACUCUUGAUGGAGCAGGAAUAAACAUGAGCCCAGUGCAUUAAAUCUUGCAAAAGACCUGUGACCUGAUGUCUGCUAACUUACUAUUGUGAUACGGUCUUCUCUUUGACUACACAUAAUUCCAGGUACAUUGUAAGUCCCCCUGAAGACAGGGAGUGGUGCUUUUCCGCUUGCUCUUGUCCAACUUUCACAUAGAUGCUGAUGAAUGGAAACCUUUGUCUUCCAUCAAUCCCACUGGCUUACUGAUCUUUCACCACUGUCCCCAAUGCUCUGCCCAGCACCUGGAACAGAGGAGGUGUCAAGAAGCAGAAAAAUUUCCCCUGAACUAUGAAUGUGGGACUUGAAAGGAAAGUCAUGUCAAAUCAACCAGGUGAGAUAAAAGUAGCAAAGGAAUGCAGUCUCCAA
Long non-coding RNA from Talpa occidentalis (Iberian mole), 563 nucleotides. RefSeq lists it as uncharacterized. The transcript is spliced from 5 exons. The record is from RefSeq and is a predicted model, not a curated record. Lineage: Eukaryota; Metazoa; Chordata; Mammalia; Eulipotyphla; Talpidae.